This 102-nucleotide transfer RNA is filed under the name Auriscalpium vulgare. Its description in RNAcentral is "tRNA-Val". The record is from RNAcentral. Lineage: Eukaryota; Fungi; Basidiomycota; Agaricomycetes; Russulales; Auriscalpiaceae.
GGGCCGAUGGCGUAGUUGGUUAUCGCAUCUGUCUAACAUCGUGAUGUUCAAACUGAAAUUUGGGAACACAGAAGGUCCUCAGUUCGAAACUGGGUCGGCUCA